This 120-nucleotide small nuclear RNA is filed under the name Canis lupus dingo (dingo). RNAcentral describes it as "U4 spliceosomal RNA (ENSCAFG00020001046.1)". The stretch from base 1 to 78 matches the Rfam family "U4 spliceosomal RNA". Rfam says of the family: U4 small nuclear RNA (U4 snRNA) is a component of the major U2-dependent spliceosome. The structure of U4 snRNA from yeast and human has been reported. U4 snRNA presents a k-turn RNA motif in the 5p-SL related to recognition of Snu13 protein. The record is from RNAcentral. Lineage: Eukaryota; Metazoa; Chordata; Mammalia; Carnivora; Canidae.
AGCUUUGUGCAGUGGCAGUAUCGUAGCCAAUGAGGUUUACCCGAGGCGUGAUUAUUGCUAAUUGAAAACUUCAUUCAGGAGCACCUGGGUGGCUCGGUCAGUUAACUAUCUGCCUUCAGC